This 253-nucleotide ribosomal RNA is filed under the name uncultured bacterium. RNAcentral's name for it is "partial 16S ribosomal RNA". It matches the Rfam family "Bacterial small subunit ribosomal RNA", at positions 524 to 776 of the family's 1533-position model. The record is from RNAcentral.
UACGUAGGAGGCGAGCGUUGUCCGGAAUUACUGGGCGUAAAGCGCGCGUAGGCGGACUGACAAGUCGGGGGUGAAAUCCCGAGGCUCAACCUCGGAACUGCCUUCGAUACUGUCAGUCUUGAGGUCGGGAGAGGUGAGUGGAACUCCGAGUGUAGAGGUGAAAUUCGUAGAUAUUCGGAAGAACACCAGUGGCGAAGGCGGCUCACUGGCCCGAUUCUGACGCUGAGGCGCGAAAGCGUGGGGAGCAAACAGG